Molecule: RNA transcript, 992 nt
Organism: Anopheles funestus (African malaria mosquito)
Lineage: Eukaryota; Metazoa; Arthropoda; Insecta; Diptera; Culicidae
Gene: RpS9
Gene name: 40S ribosomal protein S9
Exons: 4
Source: RefSeq, a predicted model, not a curated record
GUUCCGGUUUGCAGCAUCUCUUUCUCUUUCCGUGUUAAAAGUUCAACGAGGCAACACGCUUGUGUUGGUCCCGCUGUGAGCCAAAAUGGUGAACCACCGUACUCCUUCGGUUUUCUCGAAGACUUACGUUACUCCACGCCGUCCGUUUGAAAAGCCGCGUCUCGAUGCGGAAUUGAAGAUUAUCGGCCAGUACGGUCUACGUAACAAGCGUGAAGUAUGGCGUGUAAAGUACACGCUGGCCAAGAUCCGCAAGGCUGCCCGUGAGUUGCUCACGCUGGAAGAGAAGGACGAAAAGCGUCUGUUUCAAGGUAAUGCCCUGUUGCGUCGUCUGGUGCGUAUUGGCGUGUUGGAUGAAUCCCGCAUGAAGCUCGAUUACGUUCUCGGUUUGAGGAUCGAAGAUUUUCUGGAACGCCGUCUGCAGACGCAGGUGUUCAAGCUGGGAUUGGCCAAGUCCUACCAUCACGCUCGUGUUCUGAUUCGCCAGAGACACAUUCGUACUCUAGAGAGAUUUUGUAUUGGUCUCGUACCAAUGCAAAUGAUCGUGAGUGCCACUUAGAUUCUGUUGGAUCAGAUGAUCUUUCGGUUUCUAACGCCUCACACAAAUUCAGUUCCCAUGGUGUGUAGCCUAAUGGUCUGGUUGCCUUUGAGUUUCUAAGGAAGAGUACUCACUAGCCCAGAUUUCGGGAUCAUCACCAUGGCGAAUAUGAAAAUUCUCUACUGAGUUGUUCGUCCCCUGUUGUCGGAAGCAAAAAUGAGACGUAUUAUUUCCACGUGCAAGAUGCUGGAACGCAUCAUAGCUCAACGGAGAGUCGCACGUAUGACUCCUUUUGGAUGAGUGUCCGUAAGCAGGUCGUGAACAUUCCUUCGUUCAUUGUCCGUCUGGAUUCGCAGAAGCACAUUGACUUCUCACUAAAGUCACCAUUCGGUGGUGGUCGUCCAGGUCGCGUCAAGAGGAAGAACCUGAAGAAGGGCCAGGGUGGCGGCGGUGGUGC